UAGUCCACGCCGUAAACGCUGUCAACUCGUAGUCUGUGGCUUCGGCCGUGGGUUACCUAGCUAACGCGAUAAGUUGACCGCCUGGGGAGUACGGCCGCAAGGUUAAAACUCAAAUGAAUUGACGGGGGCCCGCACAAGCGGUGGAGCAUGUGGUUUAAUUCGAAGCAACGCGAAGAACCUUACCAUCCCUUGACAUCCUGCGAAGCGGAGAGAGAUUUCCGUGUGCCUUCGGGAGCGCAGAGACAGGUGCUGCAUGGCUGUCGUCAGCUCGUGUUGUGAAAUGUUGGGUUAAGUCCCGCAACGAGCGCAACCCUUAUCCUCAGUUGCCAGCACUUCGGGUGGGAACUCUGUGGAGACUGCCGGUGACAAACCGGNGGAAGGUGGGGACGACGUCAAGUCAUCAUGGCCCUUACGGGAUGGGCUACACACGUGCUACAAUGGCGCGUACAAAGGGAAGCGAACUGGUGACAGUAAGCGGAUCUCAUCAAAUCGCGUCGUAGUCCGGAUC
Molecule: ribosomal RNA, 508 nt
Filed under: uncultured bacterium
Lineage: Bacteria
Description: bacterial SSU rRNA
Rfam family: Bacterial small subunit ribosomal RNA
Source: RNAcentral